RNAcentral lists this non-coding RNA (122 nucleotides) under Pelodictyon phaeoclathratiforme. Its description in RNAcentral is "TPP sequence". It matches the Rfam family "TPP riboswitch aptamer (THI element)". From Rfam's summary of the family: Vitamin B(1) in its active form thiamin pyrophosphate (TPP) is an essential coenzyme that is synthesised by coupling of pyrimidine and thiazole moieties in bacteria. The previously detected thiamin-regulatory element, thi box was extended, resulting in a new, highly conserved RNA secondary structure, the THI element, which is widely distributed in eubacteria and also occurs in some archaea. Analysis of operon structures identified a large number of new candidate thiamin-regulated genes, mostly transporters, in various prokaryotic organisms. The record is from RNAcentral. Lineage: Bacteria; Pseudomonadati; Chlorobiota; Chlorobiia; Chlorobiales; Chlorobiaceae. RNAcentral also lists the same sequence under 1 other name.
UUCACAUCUUGGGGGUGCUGAAUUUUUUUCCUGUCCUGCUGGAGGAAAAAAAGAAGGCUGAGAUCAAACCCUUAUAACUUGAUGCAGGUAAUGCUGACGCAAGAAAAGAUUAUGAUGGCGUU